AUGUCAGACCUCGAUUGGGCGUUGAAGAUGGAUAGCAGCAGGGGGGAGGAUACCAUGCCGAGGGAGGUCACCAAGGGGAGGCGAAGGGGGGUACACAUGGCCACUGCACGAGAUGGUUGCGCGGCAUCGCUUCCCUACGAGAUGAUCAUGGAGGUGCUGCAGUGGCUCCCCAUCAAAUCUGUCUUCCGCUUCCGGGCAGUUUGCCGCAGCUGGGCUGCGCUGCUAUCUUCUGACGAAUUCCGCCGCCUCCACAUGGCAGCAGCUAAGGCCGCAAGGCGGCCGGCACCACCAGCCAAGCUGAUGUACAUCUCGCCUACCGCCACAUUCGACUCCACCACAGUCUACUCGUGUUCCUUCUCGCGGUCAUCAUCAUCAGGCCGCCCCAGAGAUCGCGGGGACUUACUGUUCACCAUCGAAGGUGCCCGUGGCAACUGUGUGGAAGUAGUGACGCCCGCACCGUGCCAUGGCCUCACGCUUCUCUAUGAUGCUCUCGACACGGCCUACUACAUCUGCAACGCGGCCACACGGGCUGCCACGCGUCUGCCGCCUUCCGCUGUACGAGGAUCCAAGUCCACUGCUGGGCUGGGGUUUGAUGCCCACACAGACGAGCACAAGGUGGUCAGGUUGAUCAAUGGGUUGGUUCAUGAGAGAGACUUGAAGUUGGUGAGGUGCGAGGUGUACACGACUGGAGGCCGUUUUGGGGAUUGUUGGAGGCCUGCCGCCGGAGGAGUACCCUCCAACCUGCGUGAAUUUGCACGUGCCGCUGUUAGCAAUGCGUGUACCAACAAAUUAUCUCCUGUGUUUGCCAAUGGUUGCCUGCACUGGUUGAUGAACCCUUCCUAUUUCAUCACGACUCCAAGUGUUGCCAUCAUGUCCUUUUCGGUUGCAGAGGAGACCUUCGCAUGUAUCCGGUCACCGCCCUUCUGGGUACCAGGAGCGCCGCCGGCCUCCUGGUUGGCCUCAUCAGGAGAGCAACUAAUGGAGAUGGAUGAGCAACUAUGUUUGGUUCGCAACAGAAUCCCUCAUGGUAGUAACACUUUGGAGAUCUGGAAACUGCUGGACUAUAGCUCUGAUGACUGGUUACUGAAUCAUCGAAUUCAUUUGUCGGGGCACCUGGCAAGAGAUUUGCGUCAGUCACAAAUUUUGAGAGUUAUUGGAUCUUUUCGUAGUUACAGGUCACCAAGGAAGAAGAUAAUCAUCACUACUAGCAUGCACAAGAUUUUCAACAAGUAUCAGAAAAUGGUUCACACCUAUGACCCUAGGUCUGAGGCUCUGGAAACCAUUCUUUCAAUCACGGAGACACACUCAAUUCCAGAAUAUGCUUGUCCUAGUUCAAGAUUCGGUUUCAUUCAAGAGACCCUUGCUCCCGUGCAUAGAACAGAUGAAGCCUUGUCAUCUGACCUGGCAAAGGUGACUCGAGAGAUCCUACUCCGCCUCCCAGCUAAAUCAGCCAUACAGUACAAAUUUGUCUGCAAGAAGUGGUUCAGAUUGAUUGAGAGUGAAAACUUCAUUCGGUCAUACUUUCAGCAUAAGAACAUGGACAAAAGACCUAAGUUCAUGCUUGUGGUCAAGAGCACUGGACAGUUGAGCUUCAGUUUCGCUCCAUUGAAUAAAUGCCUCCAAGAAGCUCCUAGUCACAGUACAUUGCUUGAUACGAAGGUGGUUUGCUCUAAGCCUUGCCAUGGGCUGAACUUGGUAAGCACCGAGACGAAGGACUAUCUCUGCAAUCCAUGUACAGGUUUCCACAGGGUUUACCGUAACCUGGGGCCAAAUUUGCACCUUCCCUCGAGAAUGCCUAAAGCAGAAGAGCAUGCUUUUACAGUCGGCAAUAAAAAUGUUGGCUUGACUUUCAGCCCUUCGACUCGUCAACAUGUUAUCGUGGAAAUCUUCUAUCACCGGAAGGACUUCAAAUCUCGUCAGUAUGACAUGACAUGCGCGUUAUACUGGUGUAACUCUUGGAGUGCUGCCCAACAGAUCUCGGUACCUCCUCUGCCUGUGAAUGAUAUGCCACCGGCCUAUGUUGAAGGAAUGCUGUACUGGAUGAGUGAACCAAGGUUGGGACAGUGCUGUGAAUGGGCCAUUGUCUCAUUCAACCUUGCUAAAAGAACGUUCGAUGUCGUCCCGUGUCCUUCGUGGUUUGCAAGAUGGAAUAGCAGAAACAGCUGUCGUGCAUUUGUUGUUGAGCUUGAGGGAGUAUUAUGCGCUGUCCUAGCAGAUCCAGUGGCAGACAUAUUAGAUGUAUGGAAGCUAGAGCAUGGCCAAUGGGGCAGAGCAUACACAAUUAACCUGGAAGCAUGUCCUGGCUAUUCCCUCAAGACAAGUAUUGUGGUGCCAUUAGCUGUUGGUCCUGAUCAUGGGAGGAUCCUGCUCAACACUGGGAGGAAAAUAGGUCUAUAUGAUCCAGUAGAGCAAACAAUUCUAAAUCUGCAUUCACUUGAUCAGGUGCAGCUUGCCAGUAGUCCACUUCUUGAUAUGCCUUCAACUUCUUCAGGGAAUAGUUUGACAUGCUCCAAAGAAGAGUUAGCGGCGGAGAUGAAUAGAAUGGACUCUGAAAUUAUUCCUUUUGUUCCUAUGUUAUAUGAGGAGAGCCUAGCAUGUUACUCCAGUGUGCGCAAAGCAAAAAUGCUGUGGAAAUGA
Molecule: ribosomal RNA, 2637 nt
Filed under: Triticum aestivum (bread wheat)
Lineage: Eukaryota; Viridiplantae; Streptophyta; Magnoliopsida; Poales; Poaceae
Description: partial small subunit ribosomal RNA
Source: RNAcentral